This is a long non-coding RNA of Onychostoma macrolepis, 243 nucleotides long. RefSeq lists it as uncharacterized. Lineage: Eukaryota; Metazoa; Chordata; Actinopteri; Cypriniformes; Cyprinidae. The transcript has 3 exons. The record is from RefSeq and is a predicted model, not a curated record.
GACUAUUACACCACAGGUGUCAUUUUAAAUGAAACUAGGGAGUGGAUCUUAAAGACGAAAUUGAAAAAAGUCAUCUUUGAGGAAUAUGAUGGGCUCAUCACUUUCGUAAAUAUCAACAACAACCACUGGAGGUUUGUGACAUUUUUUCACAAUGAGACAUACAAAUGAAAAGACAGACUGGGCGAAUAAGAACUGGACACCUGGCACAAUCACACAUCCAUUUCAGGAGGAUAGUUCCAGCUG